AGUGAACGCUGGCGGCGUGCCUAACACAUGCAAGUCGAACGAGAACGGGUAUUAGUUUACUGAUACUGUCAGCUAAGUGGCGCACGGGUGAGUAAUAUAUAGUUAAUCUGCCCCAAAGAAGAGAAUAAUUGUUGGAAACGACUUGUAAUGCUCUAUAUGCCUUUAUUACAUAAGUAAGCAAGGGAAACAUUUAUGGCUUUGGGAUGAGACUGUACGGUAUCAGCUAGUUGGUGAGGUAAUGGCUCACCAAGGCAAUGACAUCUAACUGGUUUGAGAGGAUGAUCAGUCACACUGGAACUGAGACACGGUCCAGACUCCUACGGGAGGCAGCAGUGGGGAAUAUUGCACAAUGGAGGAAACUCUGAUGCAGCAACGCCGCGUGGAGGAUGACACAUUUCGGUGCGUAAACUCCUUUUAUAUGAGAAGAUAAUGACGGUAUCAUAUGAAUAAGCA
Molecule: ribosomal RNA, 453 nt
Filed under: uncultured bacterium
Lineage: Bacteria
Description: bacterial SSU rRNA
Rfam family: Bacterial small subunit ribosomal RNA
Source: RNAcentral